GACGAACGCUGGCGGCGUGCUUAACACAUGCAAGUCGAACGCUGAACCCGCUUCGGUGGGGGAUGAGUGGCGAACGGGUGAGUAACACGUGGGCAACCUGCCCCCGGCUCUGGGAUAACUCCAAGAAAUUGGGGCUAAUACCGGAUGUGACCGCUGGCCGCAUGGUCUGGUGGUGGAAAGGGUUUCCGGCUGGGGAUGGGCCCGCGGCCUAUCAGCUUGUUGGUGGGGUAGUGGCCUACCAAGGCGACGACGGGUAGCCGGCCUGAGAGGGUGACCGGCCACACUGGGACUGAGACACGGCCCAGACUCCUACGGGAGGCAGUAGUGGGGAAUAUUGCGCAAUGGGCGGAAGCCUGACGCAGCGACGCCGCGUGGGGGAUGACGGCCUUCGGGUUGUAAACCUCUUUCAGCAGGGACGAAGCGCAAGUGACGGUACCUGCAGAAGAAGCACCGGCCAACUACGUG
RNAcentral lists this ribosomal RNA (465 nucleotides) under uncultured bacterium. RNAcentral describes it as "partial 16S ribosomal RNA". It matches the Rfam family "Bacterial small subunit ribosomal RNA", at positions 28 to 507 of the family's 1533-position model. The record is from RNAcentral.